UACGUAGGGGGGCAAGCGUUGUCCGGAUUUAUUGGGCGUAAAGAGCGUGUAGGCGGCUUGGUAGGUCCGCUGUGAAAACUCGAGGCUCAACCUCGAGAUGUCGGCGGAAACCACUUGGCUAGAGUCCGGAAGAGGAGAGUGGAAUUCCCGGUGUAGCGGUGAAAUGCGCAGAUAUCGGGAAGAACACCAGUGGCGAAGGCGCCGCUCUGGGCCGUAACUGACGCUGAGAAGCGAAAGCGUGGGGAGCAAACAGG
RNAcentral lists this ribosomal RNA (254 nucleotides) under uncultured bacterium. Its description in RNAcentral is "partial 16S ribosomal RNA". It matches the Rfam family "Bacterial small subunit ribosomal RNA", at positions 524 to 776 of the family's 1533-position model. The record is from RNAcentral.